AACGAACGCUGGCGGCAUGCCUAACACAUGCAAGUCGAACGAGACCUUCGGGUCUAGUGGCGCACGGGUGCGUAACGCGUGGGAACCUGCCCUUAGGUUCGGAAUAACUCCCCGAAAGGGGUGCUAAUACCGGAUAAUGUCUUCGGACCAAAGAUUUAUCGCCUUUGGAUGGGCCCGCGUUGGAUUAGCUAGUUGGUAUGGUAAAAGCCUACCAAGGCGACGAUCCAUAGCUGGUCUGAGAGGAUGAUCAGCCACACUGGGACUGAGACACGGCCCAGACUCCUACGGGAGGCAGCAGUGGGGAAUAUUGGACAAUGGGCGAAAGCCUGAUCCAGCAAUGCCGCGUGAGUGAUGAAGGCCUUAGGGUUGUAAAGCUCUUUUACCCGGGAUGAUAAUGACAGUACCGGGAGAAUAAGCGCCGGCUAACUCCGUG
This 433-nucleotide ribosomal RNA is filed under the name uncultured bacterium. RNAcentral describes it as "partial 16S ribosomal RNA". It matches the Rfam family "Bacterial small subunit ribosomal RNA", at positions 29 to 507 of the family's 1533-position model. The record is from RNAcentral.